RNAcentral lists this ribosomal RNA (321 nucleotides) under uncultured eukaryote. RNAcentral describes it as "partial 18S ribosomal RNA". It matches the Rfam family "Eukaryotic small subunit ribosomal RNA", at positions 1470 to 1796 of the family's 1831-position model. The record is from RNAcentral.
CCCUUAGAUGUCCUGGGCCGCACGCGCGCUACACUGAGUGUCUGAGAUACGAGUCUGCCUGGUCCGGCAAGGUCUAGGUAAUCGCUAAAAGACACAUCAUGCUUGGGCUAGAUUUUUGUAAGUCUUGAUCUCUAACGAGGAAUCCCUAGUAUGCGUGAAUCAUCAAUCCAUGCAGAUUAUGUCCCUGCCCUUUGUACACACCGCCCGUCGCUCCUACUGAUUGGGUGAUCCGGUGAGCUGUUCGGCCAUAGCAAUGUUUCUUGAGCAGGGCAAUGAAUGUUUCGCAAACCUUGCCACUUAGAGGAAGGAGAAGUCGUAACA